RNAcentral lists this long non-coding RNA (2092 nucleotides) under Mytilus galloprovincialis (Mediterranean mussel). The record is from RNAcentral. Lineage: Eukaryota; Metazoa; Mollusca; Bivalvia; Mytilida; Mytilidae.
UGCAUGAAUAGCAGUGAUAAUACCAAAUAUAUUAACUACAUGUACUCACAAUAUAAGAACACACCGGAUAAUGAAUAUCAGUUCAAUAUAAGAACUUUUUUUUUUUAAGUCGACAUAUAUACGACGCUUGGCUUAGAUUUCAGAGCGCAUCACACUUAUUCAUAAAACAUUCUACAAUUAUAUCAAAGUUAAGAAUUCGGUAGUGCAAAUAAACAAUGGAUUUCAGAAUAACAACGAAACAUAUUUAAUCAAUGCCCAGUGCAAAUGUUUCGUGAAUAAUCAUUUAAAUAAUAAAUAUCAAUAUGAUACGUCGGUACUGCAAAAACGCCCACAAAAAUGAAAUUAAAUUUGAUAGAGGUAGUAAUCCAUUUGCAAUUAGUUUAUAUAUAUACAAGACGAAGAUGGAUUAUCAAUUAACUCAAUAGGAACAUCGUAAUAUCUAUUAGGUAGGUCGAUAAGACGAGAGCGUAACAUUUUGACCUUACCGAAAAAGAGGUACUAAAAAGCGGAAGACAUUCAAAUAUGAAGCAACCUACAGAAAACUUAUGCGUUAUCCCAAAGGUUCCUUUGACAUACAGAGUAUAUGGCAUUCUUCCGUUAUGAAGUAUCGAAUUCAACGUACCAAUUACGACCGGACGUGCCUGUGAAUUUAACAUAUCAGCCUUUUAGACAAUCUACUUUCGCAAAAGUUACACAUGUUCCAACCGACAGAAGAACUACAGGGAUAUUCAAAAUUAUCUUGGUCAAUCCUUAUGAUUGAACUAAUUGAAAAUUGAAUCUUCUGAAUAAUAUAUUUUUAUUGUUUCAUUAACAAAGGAGUAAUUCAAGUUGGUGAACACAAUAGCAAAUCUUUUUAAUAAAAAUAACAGCAAUAAAAAAAUAACAAAUAUUUGAAAUUUGAUAUUAAAAUAUGAACAAUGACAAAAAUACUGAAAGAAGUUACAAUAUUAACAAAUAUUGAUAUAAAACAAUGGUUAAAAAAUUGUCUUCAUAAACAAUAGCACGUGCAUUUUUCUCGUGCAGUUACGUCAGGUGACCAUGUAUUCAGUGAAUCACAAGUAAUAAAUAAACAAAAAAUAUGAGUGUGUCUUACCUGAGUUAUACAUGUUAUAACCAACAAAAGUAUUAAAAGUCUUAAAACAUUUUUAAAUAUUAUAAUAAUAUGCCCUAGCAAGAUACAUAAACAAUCAACCUUAAGAAAAACAAUAACAAAAGUAAACCUAAUUUAGGUAAACAUGAUAACAUGGUACGCAUUUAACAAAAAAAAUUAAAAAUUAAAAAAAAAAUUCUGAAAAACUUGGAACAUUUUUAGAACACAAAAUAUUAACAUUGAUGAAAUAGUGUCAUAGCCUAUGAGGAAAUCGUUUUAAAAUCAAGUUACUUCCCAAAUAACUGACAUCUACUUUACAUGUGUAUAUGUCUCAAUCCCACUUUGAAGAUGUAGAUUUGGUACAUGUAUCAUAAACGUCUGACUGCUUUUGCAGUGUGAAUGCGUCACUCAUGACAUAAUUACAUAUAUACAUCUAUAUUUAAAACAUUACACAUAUAAACCUUUAUCUAGAACAUCCGAAAUUGAUGAACUGUGAUCGUUAACAAAAGCUAUCCUAUAUACUUGACUAAUAUGAUAGAUAUACACUGAUAUUUCUAUAAGGUUAUUUUUGUAUGUUGAAACUCUUUUUAACUUUUUUGGAUUCGAGCGUCACUGAUGAGUCUUUUGUAGACGUAACGCGCGUCUGGCGUAUACAUGGUAUAUGCUAAAUUUAGCCCUGGUAUCAAUGAUAAGUUUAUCUAAGUGCUUUUUUUCUAUCACAUUCUUAAAAAUUUCGAAAAAUAUUUAUCAUUAAGUAUGAAGGAAAUCGAGAGGAAAUGAGUUGGGGGAUAGACACGUGAAUAAAUAAUAUACAAAGCUCUUUAUUACAAUGAUUAGUCGAUGAAAGGUAUGAAGUAUUUGAACAGAAGCUAUGAAAGACUCAAAUGUGCAAUCAAACAGUUAAGACUAUUUAAGAUCUGCAUCGUCAAAAAUAGUUAUAUUAGUAUUUGAAACAUAUUACAUUACUAAUAUAUUAUAUUGUAUUAAUAAACAUUGUAAAUC